Molecule: ribosomal RNA, 579 nt
Filed under: Arthrobacter sp. I14A-01117
Lineage: Bacteria; Bacillati; Actinomycetota; Actinomycetes; Micrococcales; Micrococcaceae
Description: bacterial SSU rRNA
Rfam family: Bacterial small subunit ribosomal RNA
Source: RNAcentral
GUGGCGAACGGGUGAGUAACACGUGAGUAACCUGCCCUUGACUCUGGGAUAAGCCUGGGAAACUGGGUCUAAUACUGGAUACGACCUUCCCACGCAUGUGGUGUUGGUGGAAAGCUUUUGUGGUUUUGGAUGGACUCGCGGCCUAUCAGCUUGUUGGUGGGGUAAUGGCCUACCAAGGCGACGACGGGUAGCCGGCCUGAGAGGGUGGACGGCCACACUGGGACUGAGACACGGCCCAGACUCCUACGGGAGGCAGCAGUGGGGAAUAUUGCACAAUGGGCGCAAGCCUGAUGCAGCGACGCCGCGUGAGGGAUGAAGGCCUUCGGGUUGUAAACCUCUUUCAGUAGGGAAGAAGCGAAAGUGACGGUACCUGCAGAAGAAGCGCCGGCUAACUACGUGCCAGCAGCCGCGGUAAUACGUAGGGCGCAAGCGUUAUCCGGAAUUAUUGGGCGUAAAGAGCUCGUAGGCGGUUUGUCGCGUCUGCCGUGAAAGUCCGGGGCUUAACUCCGGAUCUGCGGUGGGUACGGGCAGACUUGAGUGAUGUAGGGGAGACUGGAAUUCCUGGUGUAGCGGUGAAAU